Molecule: long non-coding RNA, 782 nt
Filed under: Gallus gallus (chicken)
Lineage: Eukaryota; Metazoa; Chordata; Aves; Galliformes; Phasianidae
Description: long non-coding RNA NONGGAT004975
Source: RNAcentral
GCGGGCCGCUACGGGAGAGCUGCGCGGUACGGGGACGGUAGAAGCUGUUACCUCCCUAUGUUGUGAAGUAAUUCAUUGGAGGUCUGAAAGCAGCUGGAGCAGCUUGGCGGCUGGUAACUGAGCAGCUGAUCGGAGCGACCAGGGCUUGAGGGCUCUGUGUGAGGCAGCUGUGCUCCUGAUGGACCUGGAGGCGUUUAAGGACAUGUUAGUGUCAGUCUGCACACAUGCAAAGAGUAUGAAGAAAAUAAUGAAACAUUAACAUUCGCAGUCAGCAGUUCUGUAUGUUGCAGCCUAAAAUGCACACAAGAUACCAACCUGCUGGGAUGCUGAGCUCCAGCUGCUUGAUUCCUUGAUACACAGUGCUCCAUUUGGCCACCGAAUGUGCUGCCUUUGUCACAAAUACCUGCAGGACAGAUCCCACGUUAGGUGAAUUAUAUGGUUGUGUGGGGUUUGUGAAGAGACUCGGGCAGCAGGGGAGUAUGUGGGAUGUGGAGUGUCAAUGGGAAGUGUAAAUCCUGCCCUGAAUGAGCAGAGAAGCUCACAGUGUGAGGUGUGAGACAGAACACAAAAAGAUGCUGUCUUCAUUUUUUGCACUGCUGGUGAUUUUUGACCACUUGCUUGAAUCUUUCACAGUGAGCCCCUUGGGUUUGUGGUGGCUGUGUUCCUGUGCUUGUCACUGAGCUCAGAGGGCAGCUUCUUGGCGUUAGGGAGGUGAAGCAACCCCUGAGCUGUGUUAAGACCAUAGGAGCCAGAGGACAAACAUUCUUCUUGUGAUGCCUUUC